GGUGGAUCUAUCAGUAGGAUUGGAAAGUCCUCGCCGUCUGAAUGAGGAGGAGGACAAGAUUAAUAGCACUUUAUAAGUCCUUGAAUUCAUAAAAGUCUCAACUGUAAUGGAUAACGGAGUUCUGAUGUACGAGGCAUUCGGUGGAAGCUGCGAUGACAUGCAAAUAACGACAAAAUAUGUUGUCCAUCAGUGGCGGGAUUCCAAUUUUUUUCCUUACUGGUUCUAUGAGAGUGCACUUCCCGCACAAUCCUAACGCAUAUUUCAUGUGUGUGCCCCAGCACUCAAAGACCACCGUCGAUGUCAGAACUGGUCAGCCGAGCUGUUUUUUUAGGGUUAACUUUUUAGCUCAAGUGAUCUGCGUG
This is a long non-coding RNA of Thamnophis elegans (Western terrestrial garter snake), 362 nucleotides long. RefSeq lists it as uncharacterized. The record is from RefSeq and is a predicted model, not a curated record. The transcript has 2 exons. Lineage: Eukaryota; Metazoa; Chordata; Lepidosauria; Squamata; Natricidae.